RNAcentral lists this long non-coding RNA (837 nucleotides) under Citrus maxima (pomelo). Its description in RNAcentral is "long non-coding RNA (CMAX_LNC003039)". The record is from RNAcentral. Lineage: Eukaryota; Viridiplantae; Streptophyta; Magnoliopsida; Sapindales; Rutaceae.
UGCAGCACCAUGACGAUGCAGGACCAGGUAAUAACUAUUAUCUUGCUUUAUUAGGUUGUGUGAGGCAUUAAUGUUGAGAUAGUUACUGACGAAAAGAUAUAUUGAAAUAGUGUUGGGUAUUGUGAUAAGCCUCUCUCUCUUGAUAUUUUAGUUAAAUAAGCCUCUCUCUCUUGAUAUUUUAGUUAAACUCUCAAAUUAUUGUUGGCUUGUUAUUGUGAUGUGCUUUGUUUGGAAAAAGUAGAGGGCAGACGGGCUUGGAAAUAUCAUUAUACGUAAGAAGGCUCUGACAUUUUAUUGACGACAAUGCUAACUUUUGUUCAAGCUGCACGAUGGUGGCAUUGAAGUAACGACUUGAAACUUAUUCAAAUUUGUAUCUUUUUACGGAUAAUUUUUUGCAGCAGAAAACAGAUAGACUUUAAACGGCAAUGACACUUUGUUGAUUGUUUCAUUUUAUUUAGUCAAAUUUUAUCAAAUUUUAUUUAUAUUCCUUGAGUAGACUCUCAUCGUUGUUCAUCCUCUAAAUCGUUUGCUCUAUAAUUCUGAUUUCAAUCGACAUACAUAUAUAUGUAGGAAAGUGUGAUCUUAACAACUGCCAUCUUGGUGAGCUAGUGUUUUUGGGUUUUGGGAUACUCUUUAUCUUUGCAGUUUUUAAGUGUUUUGUUUAUAUUGGAACUCUCGUCCUUAUUUUGUGGAUUUGUAGUCCUCCUAAUCCUUGUAUAUAUUUCUUAUAGUUUUAUUUAAUCUCUUGUUUCUUAGCAAAAAAACAACUGGCAUCAAACAAUUCUUAGUGAUAGAAAAUACUCAUUUAGCUUAUUUUUUGAAUUUCAUACAUGCAGG